Molecule: ribosomal RNA, 497 nt
Filed under: uncultured bacterium
Lineage: Bacteria
Description: partial 16S ribosomal RNA
Rfam family: Bacterial small subunit ribosomal RNA
Source: RNAcentral
GAUGAACGCUGGCGGCGUGCCUAAUACAUGCAAGUCGAGCGAACGGACGAGAAGCUUGCUUCUCUGAUGUUAGCGGCGGACGGGUGAGUAACACGUGGAUAACCUACCUAUAAGACUGGGAUAACUUCGGGAAACCGGAGCUAAUACCGGAUAAUAUUUUGAACCGCAUGGUUCAAAAGUGAAAGACGGUCUUGCUGUCACUUAUAGACGGAUCCGCGCUGCAUUAGCUAGUUGGUAAGGUAAUGGCUUACCAAGGCAACGAUGCAUAGCCGACCUGAGAGGGUGAUCGGCCACACUGGAACUGAGACACGGUCCAGACUCCUACGGGAGGCAGCAGUAGGGAAUCUUCCGCAAUGGGCGAAAGCCUGACGGAGCAACGCCGCGUGAGUGAUGAAGGUCUUCGGAUCGUAAAACUCUGUUAUUAGGGAAGAACAUAUGUGUAAGUAACUGUGCACAUCUUGACGGUACCUAAUCAGAAAGCCACGGCUAACUACGUG